AUUGAACGCUGGCGGCAUGCCUUACACAUGCAAGUCGAACGGUAACAGGUCUUCGGAUGCUGACGAGUGGCGAACGGGUGAGUAAUACAUCGGAACGUGCCCGAGAGUGGGGGAUAACGAAGCGAAAGCUUUGCUAAUACCGCAUACGAUCUCAGGAUGAAAGCAGGGGACCGCAAGGCCUUGCGCUCACGGAGCGGCCGAUGGCAGAUUAGGUAGUUGGUGGGAUAAAAGCUUACCAAGCCGACGAUCUGUAGCUGGUCUGAGAGGACGACCAGCCACACUGGGACUGAGACACGGCCCAGACUCCUACGGGAGGCAGCAGUGGGGAAUUUGGACAAUGGGCGCAAGCCUGAUCCAGCCAUGCCGCGUGCAGGAUGAAGGCC
This 383-nucleotide ribosomal RNA is filed under the name uncultured bacterium. Its description in RNAcentral is "bacterial SSU rRNA". It matches the Rfam family "Bacterial small subunit ribosomal RNA", at positions 30 to 416 of the family's 1533-position model. The record is from RNAcentral.